CCGGACGGCCAUAGCGGCCUGGUCAUACCGGCACUCAUUUCGAACGCCGAAGUCAAGCAGGCCCACGUUCCUGGUUGUACUGUUCUCAUGAACGGGAAGCCAGGGAAGCUGUCCGCC
Molecule: ribosomal RNA, 117 nt
Filed under: Candidatus Woesearchaeota archaeon
Lineage: Archaea; Nanobdellati; Candidatus Woesearchaeota
Source: RNAcentral